GAUGAACGCUAGCGGCAGGCUUAAUACAUGCAAGUCGUGGGGCAGCAUGAGUAGCAAUACUUGAUGGCGACCGGCAAACGGGUGAGGAACACGUACACAACCUUCCUUCAAGCGGGGAAUAGCCCAGAGAAAUUUGGAUUAAUACCCCAUAAUAUAUUUGAUAAGGCAUCUUAUUAAUAUUAAAGCUUCGGCACUUGAUGAUGGGUGUGCGGCUGAUUAGAUAGUUGGCGGGGUAACGGCCCACCAAGUCUACGAUCAGUAGCUGAUGUGAGAGCAUGAUCAGCCACACGGGCACUGAGACACGGGCCCGACUCCUACGGGAGGCAGCAGUAAGGAAUAUUGGACAAUGGACGAAAGUCUGAUCCAGCCAUGCCGCGUGAAGGAUUAAGGACCUCUGGAUUGUAAACUUCUUUUAUAUGGGACGAAAAAGGGCAUUCUUGUUCACUUGACGGUACCAUAUGAAUAAGCACCGGCUAACUCCGUGCCAG
This 488-nucleotide ribosomal RNA is filed under the name uncultured bacterium. RNAcentral describes it as "bacterial SSU rRNA". It matches the Rfam family "Bacterial small subunit ribosomal RNA", at positions 28 to 511 of the family's 1533-position model. The record is from RNAcentral.